Molecule: ribosomal RNA, 497 nt
Filed under: uncultured bacterium
Lineage: Bacteria
Description: partial 16S ribosomal RNA
Rfam family: Bacterial small subunit ribosomal RNA
Source: RNAcentral
GAUGAACGCUGGCGGCGUGCCUAAUACAUGCAAGUCGAGCGAACAGACGAGGAGCUUGCUCCUCUGACGUUAGCGGCGGACGGGUGAGUAACACGUGGAUAACCUACCUAUAAGACUAGGAUAACUUCGGGAAACCGGAGCUAAUACCGGAUAAUAUAUUGAACCGCAUGGUUCAAUAGUGAAAGACGGUUUUGCUGUCACUUAUAGAUGGAUCCGCGCCGCAUUAGCUAGUUGGUAAGGUAACGGCUUACCAAGGCAACGAUGCGUAGCCGACCUGAGAGGGUGAUCGGCCACACUGGAACUGAGACACGGUCCAGACUCCUACGGGAGGCAGCAGUAGGGAAUCUUCCGCAAUGGGCGAAAGCCUGACGGAGCAACGCCGCGUGAGUGAUGAAGGUCUUCGGAUCGUAAAACUCUGUUAUUAGGGAAGAACAAAUGUGUAAGUAACUAUGCACGUCUUGACGGUACCUAAUCAGAAAGCCACGGCUAACUACGUA